AUGUCAUCACGGCAACAUAAAAAUGAACCUACUCUAUCACAUUCAAAAGUGAACCCUGCAUGUGUUGAUACUGCAUCUAAAUCACACACAGUAUUGCAUAGGAAUGCAAAAAGAAGAAGGGGAAUGACCCAUGUACAUGAAACAAAAUUGAAAAAAACAAACACUGUGUUGCAUCUAUCUGAUUCCCUUAAAAUAUCACAGCAAACACAAGAAUCGUCACGAUAUAAUGUUGCAUCAUAUUUGAACCCCAACAUCUCCAAACCCUACUCCUACCCCGUCGCUAGAUCUGCAACCACCCGCUAA
RNAcentral lists this ribosomal RNA (303 nucleotides) under Triticum aestivum (bread wheat). RNAcentral's name for it is "partial small subunit ribosomal RNA". The record is from RNAcentral. Lineage: Eukaryota; Viridiplantae; Streptophyta; Magnoliopsida; Poales; Poaceae.